GCAGCACGGACUUCGGUCUGGUGGCGAGUGGCGAACGGGUGAGUAAUAUAUCGGAACAUACCCUAGAGUGGGGGAUAACGUAGCGAAAGUUACGCUAAUACCGCAUACGAACUAAGGUUGAAAGUGGGGGAUCGCAAGACCUCAUGCUCAUGGAGUGGCCGAUAUCUGAUUAGCUAGUUGGUGAGGUAAAGGCUCACCAAGGCGACGAUCAGUAGCUGGUUUGAGAGAACGACCAGCCACACUGGAACUGAGACACGGUCCAGACUCCUACGGGAGGCAGCAGUGGGGAAUUUUGGACAAUGGGCGCAAGCCUGAUCCAGCAAUGCCGCGUGAGUGAAGAAGGCCUUCGGGUUGUAAAGCUCUUUUGUCAGGGAAGAAACGGUUGUGGCUAAUAUCCAUGGCUAAUGACGGUACCUGAAGAAUAAGCACCGGCUAACUACGUGCCAGCAGCCGCGGUAAUACGUAGGGUGCAAGCGUUAAUCGGAAUUACUGGGCGUAAAGCGUGCGCAGGCGGUUAUAUAAGUCAGAUGUGAAAUCCCCGGGCUCAACCUGGGAACUGCAUUUGAGACUGUAUGGCUAGAGUGUGUCAGAGGGGGGUAGAAUUCCACGUGUAGCAGUGAAAUGCGUAGAUAUGUGGAGGAAUACCGAUGGCGAAGGCAGCCCCCUGGGAUAACACUGACGCUCAUGCACGAAAGCGUGGGGAGCAAACAGGAUUAGAUACCCUGGUAGUCCACGCCCUNNCNAUGUCUACUAGUUGCCGGGACUUAAUUGUCUUGGUAACGCAGCUAACGCGAUAAGUAGACCGCCUGGGGAGUACGGUCGCAAGACUAAAACUCAAAUGAAUUGACGGGGGCCCGCACAAGCGGNGGAGCAUGUGGUUUAAUUCGAUGCAACGCGAA
This 899-nucleotide ribosomal RNA is filed under the name uncultured bacterium. Its description in RNAcentral is "bacterial SSU rRNA". It matches the Rfam family "Bacterial small subunit ribosomal RNA", at positions 69 to 965 of the family's 1533-position model. The record is from RNAcentral.